RNAcentral lists this ribosomal RNA (465 nucleotides) under uncultured bacterium. RNAcentral describes it as "partial 16S ribosomal RNA". It matches the Rfam family "Bacterial small subunit ribosomal RNA", at positions 28 to 507 of the family's 1533-position model. The record is from RNAcentral.
GACGAACGCUGGCGGCGUGCUUAACACAUGCAAGUCGUACGGUAAGGCCCUUUCGGGGGUACACGAGUGGCGAACGGGUGAGUAACACGUGAGUAACCUGCCCACAACUUUGGGAUAACGCUAGGAAACUGGUGCUAAUACUGGAUAUGUGCUCCUGCUGCAUGGUGGGGGUUGGAAAGCUCCGGCGGUUGUGGAUGGACUCGCGGCCUAUCAGCUUGUUGGUGGGGUAGUGGCCUACCAAGGCGGCGACGGGUAGCCGGCCUGAGAGGGUGACCGGCCACAUUGGGACUGAGAUACGGCCCAGACUCCUACGGGAGGCAGCAGUGGGGAAUAUUGCACAAUGGGCGCAAGCCUGAUGCAGCAACGCCGCGUGCGGGAUGACGGCCUUCGGGUUGUAAACCGCUUUCAGCAGGGACGAAGCUUUUUGUGACGGUAUCUGCAGAAGAAGCACCGGCUAACUACGUG